GAGUGGCUUUAAUUUAACAGGAGAAUGGACUGCUGGAUAAGGUAACCUGCGCUUUACAGAUAAAUAAUUUGGAAGAUCGAUAAUUCAAAAUCACUGUAGUAGGUAGGGAUGGCUGGAACUUGAAGGCCGAAGUGACAGAGUUAAAAUGAUCGAUUUUCCUGGACCAGGACUUACCUUCUUGAUGGCCAUGUGGUAUAAUUACAGUGUGGUCAUUUGAUGAAAACUAAUGGAUAAAGAAUGAACUUCAGGUAUGAGGUGAAGUAUUGUUCGACCUCUGGAUUGUUCUGCAGCUCAAACCACUCUGCUGCCGUAUGGAUUCCCGUUUGGACCAAGCCAUACAUUCAGGAAUCAAACCACUUUGUACUUCAGCAAUAGCAUCCAUUAUUUUCUAGGUCAAGGGGAUAUUUUCUACCUAAAGCAAUACAAGUGGCGGUGAGGUUUUAAAGUUUAUGUAUCUUGAAACAAACUACUGUCAAAACUGCUCUCACUUAAUGAAAUCGGCUUGUUAGUAUAUACAAACCUCAAUCUGACGUUUUGACAACUAUUGCAAAAACUUGAGUCGUCUAUUCUUCAGCUACAUUCAUUUGCCGUAAUAUAAGCGUAAUGAAAUUGACAAGCAUUCACAAAUAGUAUAACUUGUGCGUUGUAAAGACACAGGCCCAAAGGUGCGUUUCACGUUUUGAGUUUUGAUAUUUCAAGUUGUAGCCAACUUAACUUCAUGGCACAGGUACCUACGGGUUGUUUCCUAGGACACGUUUUGCACAUGAAAGUGUAACUUUAAUCAUCAAUCUUUUGCAUUUUUGGUUUAAAGCAUAUGAAGAGUAGAAUUUAAUUAUCGUGGUUUGACAGUUGCGAUAAUCAUGUUGUAAACAUUUAAUAUUCUUUAUUAGCCUUUAAAUCAGUCAUCAUACUCUGAGAAUGUUUAAAAUUAAGCUGGCUAGUUAUUGGCUGGUUACAGAAUACGAGAUGAAUGCAAAAGGUAAUUCAUAAUUUCUCUCUCUCUCUCUCUCUCUCUCUUCUCUCUCUCUCUCUCUCUCUCUCUCUCUCUAGCAUUUUAAGCUACCAAUGUCUUACACAACCCUGUUAAUCUUUCUUCAAAAAUUAGUCCAUGACUUUUAUUCUUGUAACAUCUUGCGCCAUAAGUUGAGAGGUUUCUUGAGAAGUGUGUUAAGAUCUUGAGAACUCAUUUUUCAUGUUUCAAAAAUUUUUUAUUAGUAGUUAAAAUAGGCAACAUUUAUGUAUCUGGUUCUUCCUUUCAGACAUAACGAACUAUUUCGUCAGAAUUUUUACUUUUUAAUUGGAAUCUAUACUGCUUUUAAGUAAACAUUAUUUUUUUUUACUUAGAAUUGUACCAACUCAAGAUUGAGUUUUGGGGUAGCAGACAUGAAGAGUCAAAUAGGAGCUUAUAUUUACUGUCACCCAACUUCUUGUGUCCUGUAAAAAUUAUAAAUCUUAGCAUAACACCAUUUCAGCACUUUCUAUUAAGACCUUUAGCGUUUUACCCGUUUGUGUUCAGUCUAAUUUUGUAUCAGUUUUUAUAAACCUACCAUAGCUUCAUAAAAUCAUGCUUAAUAGAACCGAAAUUCUUUCGUUAUCCAGUUCCAGUAAGCUAAUGGCUGUAGCUCUAUAAUUACGAACAACUUUCUAGGGAGUGAAUUAAUAAUAGAAUUUCUAAGCCUUCAUGUACUUUUAAUCGCUUUUUUAGGAAAGACUUCUAAGAGCCAUUGACCUCUCCCCCCGCAAAAAAAAUCGUAUUAAAUGUAGUAUGAUACUUACCUGCCACAUUUUGGAAAACAUUCCUAUAAGGUUCCCUAAUUUCAGAAAUUUGAGAAAUUACGUUGAGUGCCCUACAUAUGAGAAGGCCUCUCAUCAUCGAAAGAGUCUUUUAACCUAAAUUGACUUUAUCUUUGAUACUGUCCCUGUGUUCGACUAUUAGUAUUUUCAAACUAUCUAAAUGUUGUAGAAAUGAUGCGCUUACUCAAAGUUGCACAUAAAGUUACAAGCAUUUCCUAUACUUAUUUUUCAGCUUUGAAAUGGAUGUCAGUUGCCAAACGUCAGUAUGAGGAUCACAUUUUUCAUUGGUAAAUUCUAGAUCAAGGUCACUCAAGGCCACCUUCACGUAAAUAGUGACCUGUGAUAUCCUACAGCCUUUGGAACUACUUCGUCUUAUUUUUCUCUGUUGAGCCUUUGCUAGCACAGCUGCUUAGAACAUG
This is a long non-coding RNA of Macrobrachium nipponense, 2213 nucleotides long. RefSeq lists it as uncharacterized. The record is from RefSeq and is a predicted model, not a curated record. NCBI's taxonomy places the organism in Eukaryota, Metazoa, Arthropoda, Malacostraca, Decapoda, Palaemonidae. The transcript is spliced from 3 exons.